GGUAUCAUGACCGUGCGAAGGUAGCAUAAUCAUUAGUCUCUUAAUUGGAGGCUGGAAUGAAUGGUUGGACGAGAAAUUAGCUGUCUUAGUUUUGAAAAUUGAAUUUAACUUUUAAGUGAGAGGGCUUAAAUGGGCUAGAGGGACGAUAAGACCCUAUAAAGUUUGUACAUUGAACUAAUUAAAGGUGAUUUGGGUUUAUAAAAUCUGCCAUUGGGGGAAGUGUUUAGUUGGGGCGAUUGGGAUAUAAGUUAUCUAACUGUUUCUUUGUUUGAAUCAAAAAUAUUUGAGUUUAUGAUCCUUUUUUAGGAUUAAAGAGUAAAUUACUUUAGGGAUAACAGCGUAAUUUUUUUUGAGAGUUCUUAUCGAUAAGAGAGUUUGCGACCUCGAUGUUGAAUUAAAAUUUC
RNAcentral lists this ribosomal RNA (404 nucleotides) under Cherax dispar. Its description in RNAcentral is "partial 16S ribosomal RNA". It matches the Rfam family "Archaeal large subunit ribosomal RNA", at positions 2012 to 2615 of the family's 2987-position model. The record is from RNAcentral. Lineage: Eukaryota; Metazoa; Arthropoda; Malacostraca; Decapoda; Parastacidae.